CUUUUUCCCACUACCAAAUUUUGCCUCCAAAACCCCUAUGAUGCAAUAAAAAAAACGGAGGAAGUAUAUAGGCAUGGGCGGACCCACUUAGUGUCAUAGUGGGUCCGGUGACACACUAUUAAUUUUGAAAAAAAAAAAAAAAAAACAAUUACACUCACUCACGCAUCUUUCCACUCCCAAAGACCCAGAACCCCUAAUUCCCUUACAACACAGCCACGCUUCCCCUAAUCCCCCCUCUCUCUCUACUCUAUCCUCCAUGGCUCCAUUGAAGAAUUGAAGCUUCAAGCAUUCAAGCAUACUCGGCUAGUCGGCUACUCGCUAAAACUCCAUUGAAGGGGCGUUUGAGCUUUUUCUUCUCCACCGAAACAAUCUCAAAGGAGUCAAAGGGUCGAAAUUCUCCAUUGAAGGGGCUUCGUACUUUCACUCUUUCAGAGGCUCUGAGUCACGCCUCACGCUGAGCUUCGCUCCUUCAUUGAAGCAGCCUACUGCCUAUAGCCAGGUUAGAUCUUGAACUCUUUACUCUUGACAAUUUGACAAAUGGUGUACGAAUUUUUUGUUAAUGGAAGUAGAAAUUGAAAUGGGGGUUAAUCGUACUUGUAUUUGUGUAUUUAUUUUUGUUAAUCGUGUAUUUAAUUGUAGUUCUAUAAGCCUAUAACUAUUGUGUAUUUGUGUAAAUUGUGCUAUUUUAGGGAAUUAGGGUGGUUUACUGGCUUACUGCCUGUCUCACUGUCUGCCUUACUGGUUUCGGUGGUGGUGUAGGGAAGGGGUCAAGGGGAGGGAGUGGCUGUGAAAUUGGGCAAAAUUGGUUAUCAAAGACUCAAAGAGGACAACUUUACCUGUGACAAACCCUUUACACUAGUUGAUUUAGUCAUGUUUUAUAACUUGUUGAUGUUGAUUUGUUGGUAGAAAAAAAGUCAUUAGAGAGUAUGAUGGAUUAAUAAUAAUUUGACUUUAUAAAAGAAAGGUUAACGAAAAUGGGUAGUAGUUGUUUGUAUGAAAUUUCUUACAAUGUUCAUUGAUUCUGUUUUUGAUUGUAUGCUAUUUUUGUGAUAGUUGGAUUAAUAGAAAUGUUAUGCUUAUACAUCUUUAUAGUGGUGUAAAGUAGUUUUCUUGUUGGUUAUCAUUGUGGGAAAUUUGGAUAAGUCAAACAUUUAGAUUGAUUUAUCUCAUUCACCCUUUAACUUCAAUUUCAGAAUGAAAAGAAAAACAACUCGAGACAUUUCAAGUUUUUUUACUAAAAAAGUGAGCGUUUUCUUGGUAUUGUGCAUGUUCCUAAUACUAGUUCUUUGACUCUAAAAGCUGCUAUUAUUUUUUAAACAUUCACUUGAAAAUUUCAUUGUUGAUGUUCGAAAUGAUGAGAAAUUUUGGAAUUUGAAAAGUCUAAGUGAACUUUCUACGAAACUUGUUGAGACGGGAAAGUUUGAAACUCAUGAUCGAGUCUACUUACUUUUGAAGUUAGUGUUGAUUCUUCCCGUUGCAACGGCAAGUGUAGAAAGAGUAUUUUCUGGAAUGACGCAAGUAAAAGAUAAAUUGCGUAAUAGCAUGGGAGAUCAAAUGUUGAAUGAUUGUUUGAUUACUUAUCCAGAAAGAGAUUUGUUUUACAAUGUUAGCAUGGAUGAUAUUGUACAUCGUUAUCAAAAUAUGAAAACUCGUCGAGAGCAAUUGUAAUAAAAUUAGUACUUUUUUAGUUGUAAUAUGAAUUUGAAUUACUUUAUGAAAUGAACUUUUUAUGUA
Long non-coding RNA from Chenopodium quinoa (quinoa), 1734 nucleotides. RefSeq lists it as uncharacterized. The record is from RefSeq and is a predicted model, not a curated record. Lineage: Eukaryota; Viridiplantae; Streptophyta; Magnoliopsida; Caryophyllales; Amaranthaceae. The transcript has 2 exons.